GACGAACGCUGGCGGCGUGCUUAACACAUGCAAGUCGAACGAUGAAGAAGAGACACGCGAACUUCGGUUCAAAUUUCACUUCGGAUUAGUGGCAGACGGGUGAGUAACGCGUGAGCAACCUACCUCUUACAAAGGGAUAGCCUCGGGAAACCGUGAUUAAUACCAUAUGACACAUUCAUAAGGCAUCUUAAGAAUGUUAAAGCUACGGCGGUAAGAGAUGGGCUCGCGUCCCAUUAGCUAGUUGGUGAGGUAACGGCCCACCAAGGCGACGAUGGGUAACCGGCCUGAGAGGGUGAACGGUCACAUUGGAACUGAGACACGGUCCAAACUCCUACGGGAGGCAGCAGUGGGGAAUAUUGCACAAUGGAGGGAACUCUGAUGCAGCGACGCCGCGUGAGCGGUGAAGGAAUUCGUUUCGUAAAGCUCUGUUCUAUGGGAAGAAAAGGACUGUACCAUAGGAGAAAGCCCCGGCUAAAUACGUG
This 482-nucleotide ribosomal RNA is filed under the name uncultured bacterium. RNAcentral's name for it is "partial 16S ribosomal RNA". It matches the Rfam family "Bacterial small subunit ribosomal RNA", at positions 28 to 507 of the family's 1533-position model. The record is from RNAcentral.